GGAGCACCCCAGGGCCCAGGCGCUUGCAGGGAAUACAAGAAAACCAGGUCUGCGUCAGUCCAGUCCAUCUUGUGCUAAGACCUCCUUUCCUCAUCAGCUCAUCUGAGCGUUGCAGCUGGCGAGGACUUGGGAAAUCAAAUCCAAGCGGUCCCCUUUCAGAGGAGAGUGACUGAGGGGACCCAGCUCAGGUGACCCAGCCAGGUGCUCAGAGAAUUUAAGAAGUGCAACAUGGCCAGGGGCUGUCUCUGCUGCUUGAAGUACAUGAUGUUCCUCUUCAAUUUGAUAUUCUGGCUCUGUGGCUGUGGACUGCUUGGAGUGGGCAUCUGGCUCUCUGUGUCCCAAGGCAACUUUGCCACCUUCUCCCCCAGUUUCCCCUCGCUGUCUGCAGCCAACCUUGUCAUCGCCAUAGGCACCAUCGUCAUGGUGACGGGUUUCCUGGGCUGCCUGGGGGCC
RNAcentral lists this long non-coding RNA (453 nucleotides) under Rattus norvegicus (Norway rat). RNAcentral describes it as "long non-coding RNA NONRATT020951". Lineage: Eukaryota; Metazoa; Chordata; Mammalia; Rodentia; Muridae. The record is from RNAcentral.